GGGGAAUUUUCCGCAAUGGGCGAAAGCCUGACGGAGCAAGACCGCGUGGGGGAAGAAGGCUCUUGGGUUGUAAACCCCUUUUCUCUGGGAAGAAAGUUGUGAAAGCAACCUGACGGUACCAGAGGAAUCAGCAUCGGCUAACUCCGUGCCAGCAGCCGCGGUAAGACGGAGGAUGCAAGCGUUAUCCGGAAUGAUUGGGCGUAAAGCGUCCGCAGGUGGCAGUUCAAGUCUGCUGUCAAAGACCGGGGCUUAACCUCGAAAAGGCAGUGGAAACUGAACAGCUAGAGUAUGGUAGGGGCAAAGGGAAUUCCUGGUGUAGCGGUGAAAUGCGUAGAGAUCAGGAAGAACAUCGGUGGCGAAGGCGCUUUGCUGGACCAUAACUGACACUCAGGGACGAAAGCUAGGGGAGCGAAUGGGAUUAGAUACCCCAGUAGUCCUAGCCGUAAACGAUGGAUACUAGGUGUUGUCUGUAUCGACCCGGACAGUGCCGUAGCUAACGC
RNAcentral lists this ribosomal RNA (500 nucleotides) under uncultured cyanobacterium. Its description in RNAcentral is "bacterial SSU rRNA". It matches the Rfam family "Bacterial small subunit ribosomal RNA", at positions 356 to 858 of the family's 1533-position model. The record is from RNAcentral. Lineage: Bacteria; Bacillati; Cyanobacteriota.